GAUGAAGAACACAGCGAAAUGCGAUAAGUAAUGUGUAUUGCAGAAUUCAGUGAAUCAUCGAAUCUUUGAACGCACCUUGCGCUCCUUGGUAUUCCGAGGAGCAUGCCUGUUUGAGUGUCAUUAAAUUCUCAACCUUAUUGGCUUUUGCUAAUAAUGGCUUGGACUUGGGGGUCUUUUUGCUGGCUUUCAUUAGUCUGCUCCCCUUAAAUGUAUUAGCCGGUGCCCCGCAGUGGAACCGUCUAUUGGUGUGAUAAUUAUCUACGCCGUGGACGUCUGCUAUAAUGGGUUUGCGCUGCUUCUAACCGUCUCUCGGGACAACACAAAUGACAAUUUGACCUCAAAUCAGGUAGGACUACCCGCUGAACUUAAGCAUAUCAAUAAGCGGAGGA
RNAcentral lists this unclassified non-coding RNA (389 nucleotides) under soil metagenome. RNAcentral describes it as "partial contains 5.8S ribosomal RNA, internal transcribed spacer 2, and large subunit ribosomal RNA". The stretch from base 1 to 120 matches the Rfam family "5.8S ribosomal RNA", at positions 35 to 154 of the family's 154-position model. The record is from RNAcentral.